RNAcentral lists this ribosomal RNA (490 nucleotides) under uncultured bacterium. Its description in RNAcentral is "partial 16S ribosomal RNA". It matches the Rfam family "Bacterial small subunit ribosomal RNA", at positions 30 to 507 of the family's 1533-position model. The record is from RNAcentral.
AUUGAACGCUGGCGGCAGGCCUAACACAUGCAAGUCGAACGGUAACAGGAAGCAGCUUGCUGCUUUGCUGACGAGUGGCGGACGGGUGAGUAAUGUCUGGGAAACUGCCUGAUGGAGGGGGAUAACUACUGGAAACGGUAGCUAAUACCGCAUAACGUCGCAAGACCAAAGAGGGGGACCUUCGGGCCUCUUGCCAUCGGAUGUGCCCAGAUGGGAUUAGCUAGUAGGUGGGGUAACGGCUCACCUAGGCGACGAUCCCUAGCUGGUCUGAGAGGAUGAACAGCCACACUGGAACUGAGACACGGUCCAGACUCCUACGGGAGGCAGCAGUGGGGAAUAUUGCACAAUGGGCGCAAGCCUGAUGCAGCAAUGCCGCGUGUAUGAAGAAGGCCUUCGGGUUGUAAAGUACUUUCAGCGGGGAGGAAGGGAGUAAAGUUAAUACCUUGGCUCAUUGACGUUACCCGCAGAAGAAGCACCGGCUAACUCCGUG